RNAcentral lists this ribosomal RNA (1183 nucleotides) under soil metagenome. Its description in RNAcentral is "bacterial LSU rRNA". It matches the Rfam family "Bacterial large subunit ribosomal RNA", at positions 1488 to 2642 of the family's 2925-position model. The record is from RNAcentral.
CAGCCGACGAUUGGUCGUGUCGGUUGAAGCCGGUAGGAGGAUAGCCUAGGCAAAUCCGGGUUAUCGUUAACUCCGAGAGGCGAGUACGAGAGGCCUAGCCUCAUAAAGUGGUUGAGCCCAUGCUCCCAAGAAAAACCUCUAGUGAGUCCUGUAGGUGACCGUACCGGAAACCGACGCAGGUGGGUGGGGUGAGCAACCCGAGGCGCUUGAGAGAACCGUCGUUAAGGAACUCGGCAAAAUGACCCCGUAACUUCGGGAGAAGGGGUGCCUCAUUAGGCUGAAAGGGCUUGCCCCUGGAGGCCGAAGAGGCCGCAGAGAAAUGGCUCAGGCGACUGUUUACUUAAAACACAGGACUCUGCCAACGCGCAAGCGGAUGUAUAGGGUCUGACGCCUGCCCGGUGCUGGAAGGUUAAGGGGAGGGGUUAGUGGCGGCAACGCUGCGAAGCUCUGAACUGAAGCCCCAGUAAACGGCGGCCGUAACUAUAACGGUCCUAAGGUAGCGAAAUUCCUUGUCGGGUAAGUUCCGACCUGCAUGAAUGGCGUAACGACUUGAGCGCUCUCUCAACGACGGACUCAGUGAAAUUGUAGUGCCAGUGAAAAUGCUGGCUACCCACGACGGGACGGAAAGACCCCGUGCAGCUUUACUAUACCUUGUCAUUGGAGUUUGAUGUUGGAUGUGUAGGAUAGGUGGGAGGCGUAGAAGCGGGAGCGCUAGCUCGCGUGGAGCCACCGUUGAAAUACCACCCUUCCUUCAUUGAGCUUCUAACCUCAGACCGUGAGCCGGUUGGGGGACAGUGAUAGGCGGGUAGUUUGACUGGGGCGGUCGCCUCCUAAAAUGUAACGGAGGCGCCCAAAGGUCCCCUCAGGCUGGAUGGAAACCAGUCAUCGAGUGCAAAGGCAUAAGGGGGCUUGACUGCGAGAGGGACACCUCGAGCAGGUGCGAAAGCAGGGCUUAGUGAUCCGGCGGUACCACGUGGAAGGGCCGUCGCUCAACGGAUAAAAGCUACGCCGGGGAUAACAGGCUGAUCCCCCCCAAGAGUUCACAUCGACGGGGAGGUUUGGCACCUCGAUGUCGGCUCGUCGCAUCCUGGGGCUGAAGAAGGUCCCAAGGGUUGGGCUGUUCGCCCAUUAAAGCGGUACGCGAGCUGGGUUUAGAACGUCGUGAGACAGUUCGGUCCCUAUC